Long non-coding RNA from Peromyscus eremicus (cactus mouse), 544 nucleotides. RefSeq lists it as uncharacterized. NCBI's taxonomy places the organism in Eukaryota, Metazoa, Chordata, Mammalia, Rodentia, Cricetidae. The transcript has 2 exons. The record is from RefSeq and is a predicted model, not a curated record.
ACUGGCUUGGUGCUCGAUCUGCUCUCACACUUGUGCAUGUGAACAGUUUGCUUGAGAGUAAUUUUCACUGAGGAUGUUCCUUCUCUGUAAGUUCUGGUGGCUGAGGACCUAAGCAAUGCUAACAUUAAAUACAAACUCAAAGCUUGAAUGAGGCGGUGAAGAAGCUGUUUUCCAAAGACGACCUCAGGAAAAUCUCUCAUCUCACAUACCUCUCAUCCGUCAACAGCGUCUACACUUCUGGUAAGGGAGCUUGAUCCAACAUUCAAGUGGUGUGACUAUCCUGAAUCUGCCAUGCUUCCCAAAAAGUCCAAACUGAGCUGGGUGGUGAGACCACAUGGGGACGCCGUUAGACCACGUGCAGAGGGAUGCCCUGUUCCAGCUCUCUCUUGACCCGCCUCCAGUCACAACGUGGCUGCAGCUGCAGAAGGGAUCCAGCCUGCUCCAAGUCCCUGCUAAGCCCCAGCUAAAAUCUCAACUACAGAAAUCAUGAGAAAUAGUAACAAGAUCCUUGAUGCUGUUUUUAAAGAUAUAUUUUUACAAAAUA